AUUGAACGCUGGCGGCAUGCUUUACACAUGCAAGUCGAACGGUAACAGGCCGCAAGGUGCUGACGAGUGGCGAACGGGUGCGUAAUGCAUCGGAACGUGCCCAGUCGUGGGGGAUAACUACUCGAAAGAGUAGCUAAUACCGCAUACGAUCUAUGGCUGAAAGCGGGGGACCGUAAGGCCUCGCGCGAUUGGAGCGGCCGAUGUCAGAUUAGGUAGUUGGUGGGGUAAAGGCUCACCAAGCCAACGAUCUGUAGCUGGUCUGAGAGGACGACCAGCCACACUGGGACUGAGACACGGCCCAGACUCCUACGGGAGGCAGCAGUGGGGAAUUUUGGAAAAUGGGCGCAAGCCUGAUCCAGCAAUGCCGCGUGCAGGAAGAAGGCCUUCGGGUUGUAAACUGCUUUUGUACGGAACGAAACGGCUCUGGUUAAUACCCGGGGCUAAUGACGGUACCGUAAGAAUAAGCACCGGCUAACUACGU
This 481-nucleotide ribosomal RNA is filed under the name uncultured bacterium. RNAcentral's name for it is "partial 16S ribosomal RNA". It matches the Rfam family "Bacterial small subunit ribosomal RNA", at positions 30 to 506 of the family's 1533-position model. The record is from RNAcentral.